GACCAUGGUAAACAGACAGUAGUUUUAGCUUGGAGCUCACCUGUUGUCUCUCCCGCUCCACGCUCCGCUCUGCGAGUGUUUUUACCACUCAAUUGAACUGCUGGCUGUCUCUCACUGUCCCUAAACAGACGAGCGAUCUGUCUUCUUAACGGCCAAAAGAACGUAGUAUCACUGCGUCCGUCCAGUUGAUCAUAAACAAGCUGAGCAGCCCAUGGUCUGCCUGUGUUAUUUACUUCUGCUGUCAACCGAGGCAGCGCGCUGCUCUGGCUCCACUACGGGGGACUUCCCUCUGUGACAAGAACACUUGAUGUGCGUUCAGCGAACAAAGAACGACACAGUUGCAAUGAGAAGAGUGUGUACGCUGAAAGGACUUGCAGUCUACCUCAAUGAAGAUCCGAACAGCUUGAUCAAAGAAUAUCAGGAUGUGGACUUCCAUGAGGCCGAAAGUGAAAUGGAGAAGACGCUCAUUGGCAUCUACAUCAUCAAACCAGAAGGAGAGCGUGACCUUGACCCGGCAGAAGACAUUGGUAUCAUAAUUGAGGGUGUCGCUGUGCUCAGAGAUCUUCCUGAUGUUGCCACUGCUGUUGUGUUGUUGUUCGGCCUGAUCUACACUUUAAACAUGAGCUACCCAUCCAACCUCAGGUACACUUUUGAGUUUUUCAGAAAGUACUGAUGGGACUUGAUGCUAAGAAGCUAUCAAACAAAGUUCAAGU
Molecule: long non-coding RNA, 713 nt
Organism: Oreochromis aureus
Lineage: Eukaryota; Metazoa; Chordata; Actinopteri; Cichliformes; Cichlidae
Source: Ensembl